AGGUGCCAGAGUGGUCGAAUGGGACUGACUCGAAAUCAGUUGUGCGGGUUCACCCCGUACCGAGGGUUCGAAUCCCUCCCUCUCCGCCA
RNAcentral lists this transfer RNA (89 nucleotides) under Candidatus Uhrbacteria bacterium CG_4_9_14_3_um_filter_50_9. RNAcentral describes it as "tRNA-Ser". It matches the Rfam family "tRNA". From Rfam's summary of the family: Transfer RNA (tRNA) molecules are approximately 80 nucleotides in length. Their secondary structure includes four short double-helical elements and three loops (D, anti-codon, and T loops). The record is from RNAcentral. Lineage: Bacteria; Candidatus Uhriibacteriota.